AUGUUGGAAGUUUUUGUACGGUGGCUCAGUGACUUUGUAUCACUGUGGUGGACUUUUGGUGGAGGAACCAGACUGGAUGUCGGAGGUGAAGCCCGUCCCACCUUGAUGGUUCUGCCCCCUUCCAAUGAGGAGCUGCAGCAGGGGAAGGCCACGCUCGUGUGCCUGGCCAACAAGGGCUUCCCCUCGGACUGGAGUCUGGCCUGGAAGGUGGACGGCAUCAGCGGCGGCAGCUGGGAGGAGAGCAGGGGCCCUGCGGUGAUGGAGCAGGACGCUCGUUACAGCUGGAGCAGCACCCUGAGGCUCUCUGCAGACCAGUGGACGAAGGUGGGCUCUGUGACCUGUGAGGCCACCCAGGGCUCCCAGACGCUGGUCUCAGAGACACUGAGGAGGGACCAGUGUUCCCAGGACUGAGCUGUAUCACCUGGACUCUGCUCCUGGUUUCUCCCUGCCGUUGUUUUAUUCCUGAAACUGCCCUCAGUUUGCACGCUAAAUGCCUUCUUUCCCUCUCUAUGAUUUUAUGUUUCAACGUUAACUUUUCUCGCCUUUUGUAUUGACAGUUUUUCUUAACAUGAGCAAAAGAAUAAAAAUGGAAUCAAACAGUA
Molecule: non-coding RNA, 602 nt
Organism: Labrus mixtus (cuckoo wrasse)
Lineage: Eukaryota; Metazoa; Chordata; Actinopteri; Labriformes; Labridae
Source: the annotation of a RefSeq genome assembly